Cyprinus carpio (common carp) is the source of this 816-nucleotide long non-coding RNA. The record is from Ensembl. NCBI's taxonomy places the organism in Eukaryota, Metazoa, Chordata, Actinopteri, Cypriniformes, Cyprinidae.
AUACUGUUGUAUUCAGGAGAAGCUGGAGUGCUACCAGACCUCUGAGGAAAGUCUCGAAGUUGAGCGUCGCCGUAUGAAGGAGACCUGUGAGGCCACGGAAGCUCGAGCUGCCAAGCUGGAACUCACACGCUGGGGGUUGGGGGGAGAGCUGCAGCAUGCCCAGCUCUGAGCCACAGAGAUGGAGUCAGAGGUCAGCUCACUGCAGGAACGCCUUAACAAACUCCGCAGAGAACUGAGAGACAGUGAAGAGCGUGCUUCCCUCCUGAAGGUGUGUGUAGCUUUGUGCUGUGUCUAAAAGGAUAUCAGUCAUGUUUGAGCAAUAUAAUGCAGCACUGUUGUUCCAUUGUAGGUUGAGGGUGAGAGGUUGGCAACUGCCUUGGCACACACAGAACUGCAGGAGAGCCAGUUGAGGGAGCAACUGCAGGCCAUGGCUGCAUCCCUGACUGAAAGCAAUGCUGCUGCAGGAACAGCACAGGAUCAGGCUGCUCAGCUGCAGCAAGUUCUCACAGCCAGCGAACAUGACUGGAAGAUGCUGCAGUCACAGAUCUCUAUCUUGGAGCAGACUCACUCCCAGAGGCUCCUGGAAGUGAUGGCUCGCCACAGACAAGAGCUGGACCUGGAGACAGAGUGGAUGAAGGACUCCCAGCAACAGGCUGAGAGAGCACUGGAGGCCCAAGAGAAAGCUCACUGCGAGAGGGUCCACUGCUUGGAGGAACAGGUUUGAGAAAGCUAUAAAAAAUGUGAUGUAUUGUAAUAGUGACAUCUACAUCACAUUCAACAGCUAGAAGCCUUUAAUAAAUACUUGACUGCUUUGCA